RNAcentral lists this non-coding RNA (149 nucleotides) under Nomascus leucogenys (northern white-cheeked gibbon). Lineage: Eukaryota; Metazoa; Chordata; Mammalia; Primates; Hylobatidae. The record is from Rfam by way of RNAcentral.
GCUGGGCAUGGUGGCGCAUGCCUGUAAUCUCAGCUACUUGGGAGGCUGAGGCAGGAGAAUUGCUUGAACUCGGGAGGUGGAGGUUGCAGUGAGCCAGGAUUGUGCCCACUGCACUCCAGCCUGGGCAACAGAGCAAAACUCCGUCUCAA